Molecule: ribosomal RNA, 492 nt
Filed under: uncultured bacterium
Lineage: Bacteria
Description: partial 16S ribosomal RNA
Rfam family: Bacterial small subunit ribosomal RNA
Source: RNAcentral
AGUGAACGCUGGCGGUAGGCCUAACACAUGCAAGUCGAACGGCAGCACAGUAAGAGCUUGCUCUUACGGGUGGCGAGUGUCGGACGGGUGAGGAAUACAUCGGAAUCUACUUUUUCGUGGGGGAUAACGUAGGGAAACUUACGCUAAUACCGCAUACGACCUACGGUUGAAAGCAGGGGAUCUUCGGACCUUGCCCGAUUGAAUGAGCCGAUGUCGGAUUAGCUAGUUGGCGGGGUAAAGGCCCACCAAGGCGACGCUCCGUAGCUGGUCUGAGAGGAUGAUCAGCCACACUGGGACUGAGACACGGUCCAGACUCCUACGGGAGGCAGCAGUGGGGAAUAUUGGAAAAUGGGCGGAAGCCUGAUCCAGCCAUACCGCGUGGGUGAAGAAGGCCUUCGGGUUGUAAAGCGCUUUUGUUGGGAAAGAAAAGCAGCAGGUUAAUACCCCGCUGUUCUGACGGUACCCAAAGAAUAAGCGCCGGCUAACUUCGUG